Molecule: transfer RNA, 78 nt
Filed under: Arthrobacter phage Bauer
Lineage: Duplodnaviria; Heunggongvirae; Uroviricota; Caudoviricetes
Rfam family: tRNA
About the family: Transfer RNA (tRNA) molecules are approximately 80 nucleotides in length. Their secondary structure includes four short double-helical elements and three loops (D, anti-codon, and T loops).
Source: Rfam by way of RNAcentral
GGGUCUGUAACUCAGUUGGCAGAUGCCCGACAGUGGAAACACCUCGGGCGGUCGCAGGUUCGAGUCCUGCCAGACCCA